RNAcentral lists this ribosomal RNA (1809 nucleotides) under Triticum aestivum (bread wheat). Its description in RNAcentral is "partial small subunit ribosomal RNA". Lineage: Eukaryota; Viridiplantae; Streptophyta; Magnoliopsida; Poales; Poaceae. The record is from RNAcentral.
CGCGUCGUCAGGGGCUCCAGCGGCUACGCGCUGCCCGGCACCCUCACCGUCGUCAUGGGCCCCGCCCGCUCCGGCAAAUCCACCCUCCUCCGAGCCAUAGCAGGGAGGCUGCGUGGCGCGGAGCGGAUGUACGGCGAGGUCUUCGUCAAUGGCGUCAAGUCACCCUUGCCAUAUGGAUCAUAUGGGUAUGUUGACCGGGACGAUGUGCUAAUCGAAUCUCUCACAGUACGGGAGAUGCUCUACUACUCGGCGCUCUUGCAGCUCCCCAGCGUCUUCUCUUCGAAGAAGUCAUUUGUGGAAGAUGCUAUCGCGGCCAUGUCGUUGGGUGACUAUGCUGACAAACUCAUUGGUGGACACUGCUUCACAAAGAGGCUUCCGACUGGCGAGAGGAGGCGGGUCAGCAUUGCAAGAGAGCUUGUGAUGAGGCCACAUGUUUUGUUCAUCGAUGAGCCUCUGUACCACCUUGACAGUGUUUCUGCACUCCUCUUGAUGGUAACACUGAAGAAACUUGCCAGCACUGGGUGCACAGUCAUCUUCACAAUGUAUCAAAGUAGCACGGAGGUUUUUGGACUUUUCGAUCGGAUUUGCUUGCUUUCAAAUGGGAAUACCCUCUUCUUUGGGGAAACAUUGGCUUGCCUGCAGCACUUCUCAAAUGCUGGGUUUCCAUGCCCAAUCAUGCAAAGUCCAUCUGACCACUUUUUGAGGGCAAUCAAUACCGACUUUGACAGAAUCAUAGCCAUGUGCAAGAAUCUGCAGGAUGAUCAAGGGGAUUUCUCAUCAGUGAGCAUGGACACUGCUGUGGCAAUCCGGACACUAGAAGCAAUGUACAAAUCAUCGGCUGAAGCUGCCUCUGUUGAAUCGAUGAUUGCAAAAUUGAUUGAGAAGGAAGGUCCUUACUUGAAAAGUAAAGGCAGAGCCAGUGAUGCAGCAAGAAUUGGGAUUCUCACUUGGAGAUCAUUGCUAAUUAUGUCAAGAGACUGGAAGUACUUCUGGAGCAGGCUUAUCUUGUAUAUGCUGCUUGCCCUCUCAAUCGGCACCAUAUUUAUCGACAUUGGUCAUUCAUUGUCAUCUGUAGUGGUUAGGAUUUCUGCGAUAUUUGUGUUUGUUUCAUUUCUCGUCCUUCUGAGUGUUUGUGGAGUACCUGCUCAUAUUGAUGAGAUGAAGAUAUAUUCCCAUGAGGAUUCAAAUCGGCAUUCCGGGACAUUGGUUUUCCUGCUGGGCCACUUCCUAUCCAGCAUCCCCUUCCUAUUUCUGGUGUCCAUUUCGUCGUCGUUGAUUUUCUACUUCCUGAUAGGCCUCAGGAACGAGUUUAGCUUCCUUAUGUACUUUAUAAUCACCAUCUUCAUGUGUCUGUUGGCGAAUGAAGCACUUAUGAUGAUUGUUGCGUACAUCUGGCUUGAAACUUACAAGUGCACCUUAACCCUGAUUUGCUUAUAUGUUGUCAUGAUGCUGGUGGCUGGGUAUUUUCGGAUCCGAGACGCAAUACCAGCGCCUGUGUGGAACUAUCCGCUGUCCUACAUUUCAUUCCACACGUACGCCGUGCAGGGCUUGGUCGAGAACGAGUAUGUCGAUACAUCAUUUGCAGUCGGGGCCACAAGGACGAUACCCGGCGUGCAGGCUGUCCGAGGCUCGUAUGGCAUAUCAUCGUCGACAGGUGCCAAGUGGAUGAAUCUCCUUGUUUUGUUCCUGAUGGCGAUCGGCUACCGGGUCAUCUUGUAUGUUUUGCUUCGUCUAGAUGUGAGGAGACAUGUGAGACUCGGCAAGCGCUCCUGCUGGCCCAGCAUCCACACUAGUGCAGCUCCAAAGUGA